AGUGAACGCUGGCGGUAGGCCUAACACAUGCAAGUCGAACGGCAGCACAGUAAGAGCUUGCUCUUACGGGUGGCGAGUGGCGGACGGGUGAGGAAUACAUCGGAAUCUACUUUUUCGUGGGGGAUAACGUAGGGAAACUUACGCUAAUACCGCAUACGACCUACGGGUGAAAGCAGGGGAUCUUCGGACCUUGCGCGAUUGAAUGAGCCGAUGUCGGAUUAGCUAGUUGGCGGGGUAAAGGCCCACCAAGGCGACGAUCCGUAGCUGGUCUGAGAGGAUGAUCAGCCACACUGCAACUGAGACACGGUCCAGACUCCUACGGUAGGCAGCAGUGGGGAAUAUUGGACAAUGGGCUCAAGCCUGAUCCAGUCAUACCGCGUGGGUUAAGAAGGCCUUCGGGUUGUAAAGCCCUUUUGUUGGUAAAGAAAAGCAGCAGGUUAAUACCCCGCUGUUCUGACGGUACCCAAAGAAUAAGCACCGGCUAACUUCGUG
RNAcentral lists this ribosomal RNA (492 nucleotides) under uncultured bacterium. RNAcentral's name for it is "partial 16S ribosomal RNA". It matches the Rfam family "Bacterial small subunit ribosomal RNA", at positions 29 to 507 of the family's 1533-position model. The record is from RNAcentral.